AUCGAAGCCUUCCUGUCUGUACCUGAAUGGUCUGCCCAUCCCCAAUAAUAAUUGAAACAGGAUAAAGGAAAUCCAAUGGGAAAAAUUAAAAUGUAAAGGUAAGUACCUACACAUUUGCCGUGAAAUAUAUUGCAUCCAAAAACUUAUCAAUUUAUAAAAUCCAAAAUAUUAAUUCUUGUUCUAAUUUAACAGAUUUUACCGAAUGAGCGCAUAUCAAGCGCUGUCAACCCGUAAUCAAAUUUUGGAAACUUAGAUUGAACGAAGAGGAUAAACACGAAAAGUUAAUCAGACUACAAUAAACAACCGGAAAAUGGGUCAUAUUCUCAUCGAAGCCGUCUUGUCUGUACCUGGAUAGAGUCUAUGAUCGAAAACAUUGAUUGAGAUAGGACAGAGGAAAUCAAAUCACGAGAAAUAAAGUUUAAAGAUUCCGCCAACUGACAUAAAGAACACAACUUUCGCGAUUCCUUGAAAGGGUACUUUGGAAGAAAAUGACGCUAAGACACUCACAUGAAUCUGCCGAACUUCACUGAACAAAAAGGCUUUUCAAAACGGGAUACCUGCCUAGUUAAUUAUUAUAACUAUUACAUACAAUGUAAUAUAAAUUAAAUUGAAAUAAAAAAUUAUUUUUUUAAAUCAAAAUUCAAUAUUUAAUUUUUUUUAGUCAAACAAACUGGAUUUCCAGUUAGCAUGGCUAAACUUUAGUAAUCCAAGAAUUUUUAACAACUAUAGUCAUGUAAAUGAAAAUUUCUGUUCUCAUUCCUAAAAUUUAGUAAUCGAAGAAUUUAGAAUAAAUAGUUUUAUCAACAAAAACCUCUGUUGACAUUCCCAAACUUUAGUAAUAUACAGACGUAAAACAUUUUAAUAAUCAUAACUAAAUAUUCUGUUGAGAGAACUAAAAUUUUUCGUUUUGAGCAACUACUAAAAUUUUAGUAAAAAUUUCUUUACUAAAAUUCUCUACUAAAGUCCAGUCAGUGCCAGUUUUAGUAAUGAUAACUAAAAUCUGAAUUACAGU
Molecule: long non-coding RNA, 1012 nt
Organism: Lutzomyia longipalpis
Lineage: Eukaryota; Metazoa; Arthropoda; Insecta; Diptera; Psychodidae
Exons: 3
Source: RefSeq, a predicted model, not a curated record